Molecule: ribosomal RNA, 484 nt
Filed under: uncultured bacterium
Lineage: Bacteria
Description: partial 16S ribosomal RNA
Rfam family: Bacterial small subunit ribosomal RNA
Source: RNAcentral
AUUGAACGCUGGCGGCAGGCCUAACACAUGCAAGUCGAGCGGAUGAAGGGAGCUUGCUCCUGGAUUCAGCGGCGGACGGGUGAGUAAUGCCUAGGAAUCUGCCUGGUAGUGGGGGAUAACGUCCGGAAACGGGCGCUAAUACCGCAUACGUCCUGAGGGAGAAAGAGGGGGAUGUUCGGACCUCACGCUAUCAGAGGAGCCUAGGUCGGAUUAGCUAGUUGGUGGGGUAAAGGCCUACCAAGGCGACGAUCCGUAACUGGUCUGAGAGGAUGAUCAGUCACACUGGAACUGAGACACGGUCCAGACUCCUACGGGAGGCAGCAGUGGGGAAUAUUGGACAAUGGGCGAAAGCCUGAUCCAGCCAGGCCGCGUGUGUGAAGAAGGUCUUCGGAUUGUAAAGCCCUUUAAGUUGGGAGGAAGGGCAGUAAGUUAAUACCUUGCUGUUUUGACGUUACCAACAGAAUAAGCACCGGCUAACUUCGUG